RNAcentral lists this ribosomal RNA (253 nucleotides) under uncultured bacterium. RNAcentral describes it as "partial 16S ribosomal RNA". It matches the Rfam family "Bacterial small subunit ribosomal RNA", at positions 524 to 776 of the family's 1533-position model. The record is from RNAcentral.
GACGUAGGGCGCGAGCGUUGUCCGGAUUUAUUGGGCGUAAAGAGCUCGUAGGCGGUUUGUCGCGUCGUUCGUGAAAACUCACAGCUUAACUGUGAGCUUGCGGUCGAUACGGGCAGGCUAGAGUUCGGUAGGGGAGACUGGAAUUCCGGGUGUAGCGGUGGAAUGCGUAGAGAUCCGGAGGAAGACCGGUGGCGAAGGCGGUCUGCUGGGCAGUUUCUGACACUGAUGCGCGACAGCGUGGGGAGCAAACAGG